This 253-nucleotide ribosomal RNA is filed under the name uncultured bacterium. RNAcentral's name for it is "partial 16S ribosomal RNA". It matches the Rfam family "Bacterial small subunit ribosomal RNA", at positions 524 to 776 of the family's 1533-position model. The record is from RNAcentral.
UACGUAGGGUCCAAGCGUUAAUCGGAAUUACUGGGCGUAAAGCGUGCGCAGGCGGUUCGUUAAGUCAGCUGUGAAAGCCCCGGGCUCAACCUGGGAAUUGCGGUUGAAACUGGCGAACUAGAAUCUGGCAGAGGGGGGUGGAAUUCCACGUGUAGCAGUGAAAUGCGUAGAGAUGUGGAGGAACACCGAUGGCGAAGGCAGGUCUCUGGGCCAAUACUGACGCUCAUGCACGAAAGCGUGGGGAGCAAACAGG